UACGUAGGUGGCAAGCGUUGUCCGGAUUUACUGGGUGUAAAGGGCGUGUAGGCGGGAGAGCAAGUCAGAAGUGAAAUCUAUGGGCUUAACCCAUAAACUGCUUUUGAAACUGUUUUUCUUGAGUAUCGGAGAGGCAGGCGGAAUUCCUAGUGUAGCGGUGAAAUGCGUAGAUAUUAGGAGGAACACCAGUGGCGAAGGCGGCCUGCUGGACGACAACUGACGCUGAGGCGCGAAAGCGUGGGGAGCAAACAGG
This 253-nucleotide ribosomal RNA is filed under the name Sporobacter termitidis. RNAcentral's name for it is "partial 16S ribosomal RNA". It matches the Rfam family "Bacterial small subunit ribosomal RNA", at positions 524 to 776 of the family's 1533-position model. Lineage: Bacteria; Bacillati; Bacillota; Clostridia; Eubacteriales; Oscillospiraceae. The record is from RNAcentral.